GUGCUCACUUCAGAAGCACAUAUCCUAAAGAUGGAAUGACACAUAGAAGAUUAGCAUGGCUCCUGUGCAAGGAUGACAUGCAAAUUCAUGAAACAUGUACUUUU
This is a small nuclear RNA of Lontra canadensis (Northern American river otter), 104 nucleotides long. The record is from RefSeq and is a predicted model, not a curated record. Lineage: Eukaryota; Metazoa; Chordata; Mammalia; Carnivora; Mustelidae.